RNAcentral lists this ribosomal RNA (384 nucleotides) under uncultured bacterium. Its description in RNAcentral is "bacterial SSU rRNA". It matches the Rfam family "Bacterial small subunit ribosomal RNA", at positions 28 to 412 of the family's 1533-position model. The record is from RNAcentral.
GACGAACGCUGGCGGCGUGCUUAACACAUGCAAGUCGAGCGGUAAGGCCCUUUCGGGGGUACGACGAGCGGCGAACGGGUGAGUAACACGUGGGUGACCUGCCCUCAGCUCUGGGAUAAGCCUGGGAAACCGGGUCUAAUACUGGAUAUGACUCCAUGACGCAUGUUGUGGGGUGGAAAGCCUUGUGCGGCUGAGGAUGGGCCCGCGGCCUAUCAGCUUGUUGGUGGGGUGANGGCCUACCAAGGCGACGACGGGUAGCCGGCCUGAGAGGGCGACCGGCCACACUGGGACUGAGACACGGCCCAGACUCCUACGGGAGGCAGCAGUGGGGAAUCUUGCGCAAUGGGCGAAAGCCUGACGCAGCGACGCCGCGUGAGGGAUGAC